CGUGUAGGCGGCUUCUUAAGUCUGAUGUGAAAGCCCGGGGCUUACCCCCGGAAGUGCAUUGGAGACUGGGAGGCUCGAGUACCGGAGAGGAGGGUGGAAUUCCUGGUGUAGCGGUGAAAUGCGUAGAUAUCAGGAGGAACACCGGUGGCGAAGGCGGCCCUCUGGACGGAUACUGACGCUGAGACGCGAAAGCGUGGGGAGCAAACAGGAUUAGAUACCCUGGUAGUCCACGCUGUAAACGAUGGGCACUAGGUGUUCGGGGUAUUGACCCCCUGAGUGCCGCAGCUAACGCAUUAAGUGCCCCGCCUGGGGACUACGGCCGCAAGGUUAA
This 331-nucleotide ribosomal RNA is filed under the name uncultured bacterium. Its description in RNAcentral is "bacterial SSU rRNA". It matches the Rfam family "Bacterial small subunit ribosomal RNA", at positions 568 to 897 of the family's 1533-position model. The record is from RNAcentral.